AAUUAUGGUGGGCUGGACAAUGGGCGCUUUUAGCGCGCCGCGUCCGUGUGAGCGGUAGUACCAACCUUGUUCAGUUCACCACCCAU
RNAcentral lists this non-coding RNA (86 nucleotides) under Vibrio aerogenes. RNAcentral also lists the same sequence under 1 other name. The record is from RNAcentral. Lineage: Bacteria; Pseudomonadati; Pseudomonadota; Gammaproteobacteria; Vibrionales; Vibrionaceae.